Molecule: ribosomal RNA, 495 nt
Filed under: uncultured bacterium
Lineage: Bacteria
Description: partial 16S ribosomal RNA
Rfam family: Bacterial small subunit ribosomal RNA
Source: RNAcentral
GAUGAACGCUGGCGGCGUGCCUAACAUAUGCAAGUCGAACGAAGCACUUUAGCUUGAUUCUUCGGAUGAAGGCUAUUGUGACUGAGUGGCGGACGGGUGAGUAACGCGUGGGUAACCUGCCUCAUACAGGGGGAUAACAGUUAGAAAUGACUGCUAAUACCGCAUAAGACCACGGAGUCGCAUGGCUCAGUGGGAAAAACUCCGGUGGUAUGAGAUGGACCCGCGUCUGAUUAGGUAGUUGGUGGGGUAACGGCCUACCAAGCCGACGAUCAGUAGCCGACCUGAGAGGGUGACCGGCCACAUUGGGACUGAGACACGGCCCAACCUCCUACGGGAGGCAGCAGUGGGGAAUAUUGCACAAUGGGGGAAACCCUGAUGCAGCGACGCCGCGUGAGCGAAGAAGUAUUUCGGUAUGUAAAGCUCUAUCAGCAGGGAAGAAAAUGACGGUACCUGACUAAGAAGCACCGGCUAAAUACGUGCCAGCCGCCGCCGUAA